Molecule: ribosomal RNA, 1443 nt
Filed under: Staphylococcus sp. CRP7
Lineage: Bacteria; Bacillati; Bacillota; Bacilli; Caryophanales; Staphylococcaceae
Description: bacterial SSU rRNA
Rfam family: Bacterial small subunit ribosomal RNA
Source: RNAcentral
UCAGGAUGAACGCUGGCGGCGUGCCUAAUACAUGCAAGUCGAGCGAACAGAUAAGGAGCUUGCUCCUUUGACGUUAGCGGCGGACGGGUGAGUAACACGUGGGUAACCUACCUAUAAGACUGGGAUAACUUCGGGAAACCGGAGCUAAUACCGGAUAACAUUUGGAACCGCAUGGUUCUAAAGUGAAAGAUGGUUUUGCUAUCACUUAUAGAUGGACCCGCGCCGUAUUAGCUAGUUGGUAAGGUAACGGCUUACCAAGGCGACGAUACGUAGCCGACCUGAGAGGGUGAUCGGCCACACUGGAACUGAGACACGGUCCAGACUCCUACGGGAGGCAGCAGUAGGGAAUCUUCCGCAAUGGGCGAAAGCCUGACGGAGCAACGCCGCGUGAGUGAUGAAGGGUUUCGGCUCGUAAAACUCUGUUAUUAGGGAAGAACAAAUGUGUAAGUAACUGUGCACAUCUUGACGGUACCUAAUCAGAAAGCCACGGCUAACUACGUGCCAGCAGCCGCGGUAAUACGUAGGUGGCAAGCGUUAUCCGGAAUUAUUGGGCGUAAAGCGCGCGUAGGCGGUUUCUUAAGUCUGAUGUGAAAGCCCACGGCUCAACCGUGGAGGGUCAUUGGAAACUGGGAAACUUGAGUGCAGAAGAGGAAAGUGGAAUUCCAUGUGUAGCGGUGAAAUGCGCAGAGAUAUGGAGGAACACCAGUGGCGAAGGCGACUUUCUGGUCUGUAACUGACGCUGAUGUGCGAAAGCGUGGGGAUCAAACAGGAUUAGAUACCCUGGUAGUCCACGCCGUAAACGAUGAGUGCUAAGUGUUAGGGGGUUUCCGCCCCUUAGUGCUGCAGCUAACGCAUUAAGCACUCCGCCUGGGGAGUACGACCGCAAGGUUGAAACUCAAAGGAAUUGACGGGGACCCGCACAAGCGGUGGAGCAUGUGGUUUAAUUCGAAGCAACGCGAAGAACCUUACCAAAUCUUGACAUCCUUUGAAAACUCUAGAGAUAGAGCCUUCCCCUUCGGGGGACAAAGUGACAGGUGGUGCAUGGUUGUCGUCAGCUCGUGUCGUGAGAUGUUGGGUUAAGUCCCGCAACGAGCGCAACCCUUAAGCUUAGUUGCCAUCAUUAAGUUGGGCACUCUAGGUUGACUGCCGGUGACAAACCGGAGGAAGGUGGGGAUGACGUCAAAUCAUCAUGCCCCUUAUGAUUUGGGCUACACACGUGCUACAAUGGACAAUACAAAGGGCAGCUAAACCGCGAGGUCAUGCAAAUCCCAUAAAGUUGUUCUCAGUUCGGAUUGUAGUCUGCAACUCGACUACAUGAAGCUGGAAUCGCUAGUAAUCGUAGAUCAGCAUGCUACGGUGAAUACGUUCCCGGGUCUUGUACACACCGCCCGUCACACCACGAGAGUUUGUAACACCCGAAGCCGGUGGAGUAACCAUUUAUGG